AGCAGCUUACUAACUUACCAAGGCUUAUACUAACUUACCAAUGAUUACUAGAUAGAUUACCAGUGAUAAGCAGGUAUUAUUAGGAUUUAGUAUAAUUACAUAGGUGAUUAUUGAAAAUUCUCCACGCUGAUUGGUUGCCGUUGAGGUGAUUAUUACGCGAUAAUCACCUAAGCGAUUUCAAAAUGGCGGCCAAAGCCUUUUUGUCAAUUAAAUGACGAAGAAAUGUGUAUUUUCUUAUUU
Molecule: non-coding RNA, 240 nt
Organism: Paramuricea clavata
Lineage: Eukaryota; Metazoa; Cnidaria; Anthozoa; Malacalcyonacea; Plexauridae
Source: the annotation of a GenBank genome assembly